GAGUUUGAUCGUGGCUCAGGAUGAACGCUGGCGGCGUGCUUAACACAUGCAAGUCGAACGAAGCGCCUUAUUUGAUUUUCUUCGGAACUGAAGAUUUGGUGACUGAGUGGCGGACGGGUGAGUAACGCGUGGGUAACCUGCCCUGUACAGGGGGAUAACAAUCAGAAAUGACUGCUAAUACCGCAUAAGACCACAGCACCGCAUGGUGCAGGGGUAAAAACUCCGGUGGUACAGGAUGGACCCGCGUCUGAUUAGCUGGUUGGUGAGGUAACGGCUCACCAAGGCGACGAUCAGUAGCCGGCUUGAGAGAGUGAACGGCCACAUUGGGACUGAGACACGGCCCAAACUCCUACGGGAGGCAGCAGUGGGGAAUAUUGCACAAUGGGGGAAACCCUGAUGCAGCAACGCCGCGUGAGUGAAGAAGUAUUUCGGUAUGUAAAGCUCUAUCAGCAGGGAAGAAAGUGACGGUACCUGACUAAGAAGCCCCGGCUAACUACGUGCCAGCAGCCGCGGUAA
RNAcentral lists this ribosomal RNA (516 nucleotides) under uncultured microorganism. RNAcentral's name for it is "bacterial SSU rRNA". It matches the Rfam family "Bacterial small subunit ribosomal RNA", at positions 9 to 523 of the family's 1533-position model. The record is from RNAcentral.